CUUUGAUUUCCACUUACAGUGAUCAUGUUAUAACGAUUAGAAAAUUAAUAAUUCAUAAGGUUAUCUAUAAAGUAUUCAAAGCUUUAUUAAAUGUACAUAUUUGUUUAAAGGUAGCGAUUGAUAUGUUCAAUAUUGAUUGUUGACCGGAUUACACGAAAUAUUGCUGAUUCCAAGAAGUGGGUGUAAUAAAAAAAAAAAAGAACACAAUAAAAUAAAUUAAACAACCUG
Molecule: long non-coding RNA, 228 nt
Filed under: Mytilus galloprovincialis (Mediterranean mussel)
Lineage: Eukaryota; Metazoa; Mollusca; Bivalvia; Mytilida; Mytilidae
Source: RNAcentral